Long non-coding RNA from Heterocephalus glaber (naked mole-rat), 1583 nucleotides. The record is from Ensembl. NCBI's taxonomy places the organism in Eukaryota, Metazoa, Chordata, Mammalia, Rodentia, Bathyergidae.
CGGCGGGGUACGGUGCCGGAAGGGUACAGUGGCGGAGGGUUAAAGCGGUCUCCACCCCAAGCUAACCCCACCCCAAGCUAACCCCUCGGCAUCCCCGGCCUCUUCUGUCUCGAACCACCUGGUCUCCUACUUGGCCCCCGCCGCCCCUCUCCCUGCCCGGGGCCUGUGAGGAAAGCCUGACGCGUUUGCAGACCGGACUGGGAAAAAAACAAAGUUUGGAGAAUGGGAUUUUCUGCUAAUGAGGACAAAACUCAUCCAAAGUGAACAUUCGUUUUCCAGUUAAAAGAGGACGUGUCCGCCGUGCGAAGGAGAUUUUUGCUCUGUGAAAGAGCUGAGGCUUGACGGAGGUGCUACCUCAAGGGUCCCUUUGCCUCCCUUUCCUAGGUGUCUCUAAACUCCUUUUUUUCCUUCAACCAUAAUCAGACACAAAUUAGCCACUGGUAACGCUCAUCUGAACCUGGUCCCUUUUUUGUAGCGUUUUAUCACACCCGAAUCAAAAACUUCUCAGUCCCCGUUUGAAAAUGAGAAAACAGGUUCCCAGAGGCUGGGUUACUUGUGAAGGUCGUUCCGUUAAUAAGCACAACUCGAAGACUGCCAAAGUUUCUUGGUUCCCUGUUCCCUGUGUAGUAGCUUUUACCGGGCUCCCAGUCAAAUGCUGACGUCAACUGCUGAAGCAGAUUUUAAAAAAUCUUCAAACAAGUUCUGAUUUUAGGAAGUGUCUUUUCUGAAGUGGUCCUUUUCUACACAGAAGAAAGAAGGGACAAUAAAAAAGAAUAGAAAAAAAUGGAAUCAAAGCUUUUGUAAAUAAGGAAGGGAAGAAGGGUUAAAGGGAGGAGAGAAUGAGAAAAAAGCAAAAUAUACCAUGUACAGGUGCUCCUGCCAGGAUGUGCCAUCACCCCCGCCCUCGCCAGAGGCCAAAGCAGGCAUACCCAGUCUUCAACUUUCAACCUCCAAAACUGCAAGGCAACUAAACAUUUUCUCCCUAUACGUUAGCUAUUCUGUCAUUGCAGUGAUGUCAAACUGACUAAUUCAGUGUUAGUCCUAUUCCUGGCUCCCAGGGUAGGACACACGAUCUUAGCCCAUUCCGUUCCUCAAGCCAUCUUUUCUGAAGAAGCAUGACUCUCAUCAGGACAUCAAGACCAACUCUGAGUAAUUUUAUAAGCCAACUCUCUCCUUCUGGACCAAAAGUUGUGAUGAUGGGAGUCAAGCUGUCUAGAGACACCACAGACCUUGGAUGGACCUGACCCAGGGAAAGUAAGGCCUAUAGACGGAUCCUGGUAACAACUUCUGAGCCUAGAAUCAGGACACACCUGAACCAGAUUUCAUGCAGCAGUGAAAUUCCAAAGAAAAAUCUCAAGAUACAAACUAGAAUUGCUGAGUUGUAAUUUAAAUAAACACUUUUAUGAAAAAAUAUCCACUACUUUCUACCAUCUCCAUAAUAUCAUAAAGAAAUAACACACACAGAGAGAAAGAAUAACUCCAGAAUAAAGAACUGCCCUUUAAAAUAAAUACAUCUGGAAAAAAAAUACAUCUGGUGUUGUGAAAUAUUUAUUAUGUUGUACUCACUUUUCUCACUUUGUCCC